Molecule: ribosomal RNA, 468 nt
Filed under: uncultured bacterium
Lineage: Bacteria
Description: partial 16S ribosomal RNA
Rfam family: Bacterial small subunit ribosomal RNA
Source: RNAcentral
GACGAACGCUGGCGGCGUGCUUAACACAUGCAAGUUGAACGGAAAGGCCCUGCUUUUGUGGGGUGCUCGAGUGGCGAACGGGUGAGUAACACGUGAGUAACCUGCCCUUGACUUUGGGAUAACUUCAGGAAACUGGGGCUAAUACCGGAUAGGAGCUCCUGCUGCAUGGGGGGGGUUGGAAAGUUUCGGCGGUUGGGGAUGGACUCGCGGCUUAUCAGCUUGUUGGUGGGGUAGUGGCUUACCAAGGCUUUGACGGGUAGCCGGCCUGAGAGGGUGACCGGCCACAUUGGGACUGAGAUACGGCCCAGACUCCUACGGGAGGCAGCAGUGGGGAAUAUUGCACAAUGGGCGGAAGCCUGAUGCAGCAACGCCGCGUGCGGGAUGACGGCCUUCGGGUUGUAAACCGCUUUCGCCUGUGACGAAGCGUGAGUGACGGUAAUGGGUAAAGAAGCACCGGCUAACUACGUG